This is a non-coding RNA of Phoenix dactylifera (date palm), 769 nucleotides long. The record is from RefSeq and is a predicted model, not a curated record. Lineage: Eukaryota; Viridiplantae; Streptophyta; Magnoliopsida; Arecales; Arecaceae.
GGGUUACCAUAUAAUGCCCAAGUCAAACUAGAAAUCAAGAUCUAUCUGUAGAAUCCAAAACACUAACACCGAGUAAAUACCAAAACUACAAACUAGAAGAACUAAAGGAACAACCGAGGAAACAGAAAAUAAAAAUAGGGAAGCGAGGAUGGAUUAAGGAGAGCUGGGCGUCCUCAUCGUCGUUCACAAGUAAAUGAACUGGCUAAAAAUCAGGCUCUCUCCUAUAAUACAAAUGAAGCAAAGGAGAAAUCCAGGAUGCUUCGACAAUUUUACCAUAUCGAUGGGAGGAAAAGGAGUUGAGGGCAACAAGGUGCGGAUAUCACAAAAAUAGGGGAUGGAGCCAAUGAACGACGAAACAAGGGAGGGUUUUUGGGGCGGCAAAAUUCGAUGGUCUCUAGCAAGAGCCAGAUCCGCGACAAAUGCAAGAGAAAGUUGGGAAAGAGAAAACAGAGGGGUGAAGGUAUCGAUUACCUUAUCGUGAUUAUGGGCUUAUUUGGAUUGAUCAUGAGUUGAUCAUGAUGUUUGUGAUUAGAUUAUGGUAUUUAUAAUUGGAUUUGCAUGGAUUUAGAUUCUUAUUUUGGUCAGAACAUUAGGAGUUAAAUAGAGAAAGUACGUGAGGAUCCAUAAGAACAUUUAUUUAGGGAAGUUGAAGAUCAAGAUAAGGGCAAAUGGUCAAAAUCUGGUGUACUCAGAAGCCAUGUGACAAAGAUGACUGCAUUCCUGAAGUCUUUUCUAGUAUAGCACGCUGACAUGAUGAAACAUUCAGAUC